GGAAAAAAUGAAAAUGGUAAAAAGGUGAAACGUUGAAACGUUGAAAUUGGAUAGAAGCAGAAAAGGAAGAAAAAAAAAAAAAAGAAUAGAAUCGACUCGUCAGAGUCAUGGUUUCACUUUCACUUGGUUAAAGUAAAAAUGUAAGGCUUAUACAGUGGACGUUACCUCAAUGGCAAUGGCUGGGCAAACAAUUCGAAUAAUGCGCAGAUCCGAUUAUUUAAAAAAAAUAGAAGAAGAAUACAGCCCUGGAACAUAUUUAAUGAAGUAUAAUUUUAAAUAAGCGACGAGUAGAAAAAAAUAACGGUUAAAAAACCGAUGCAGAUAUUUAAAAAAAAAAUCUGAUUAGACUAUGUUCCUGAAUCCUGACGGAAGAUGCAAUCCUAAGAUAUGAUCCGGCAACGUUUUAUUUGUAUUCGAUAGAGGUAGCAGACUUAAAGUUUUAGCCUCAUGUCAGUUUUUGUAUACGUGAAAGAAGGAGAUUGGCGUGCCAUCAAAUAAACUCCAAGGAACCGGAAUUCUUUGCAAUUUCAUUGAAAAGAUUUGAGACCAGAGCCAGCCACCAUAACCACAAGAUUUACACAUUUUGCUGGUGCUGGUAUUAUUGACCUGUCGUCAGCAGCAAUCUCAGUAACAUCACUUGGAUAACCCUGCAUCCCGUUUGAUUGGAGAAACAACCGAUGCCGACCGUGUUACGGAUCUCUUCUUCCCCUUUCUUUAAAUCCCCUAUGUCCUCGUGUACGCCCAUGUGAGUGUGGGUGUAUUCACGAGGACGCGGGAUGCCCUUUCUCCAAUCCCGACUGGUGGAUUCAACUUCUCUGUGGAUGGAUGAGGAUGAAACACUUGUGGAAGCCUGGCCGUAUUUCCCAGGCUAGAAGAUAGACAGACCCAUAGCUGGCGAAACUCUCGACCAGACUAUAUAAUAUAAUAUUUUCGAGGAAAAAAAAGGAAAAGAUGUACCCGACGCCUUCAGACGAAGAGAAUCACGACCCGAGUCACUCACGCUAUUGCCUAUUCAAUCCUCUUUGCCGCUGCCAAGGUACAAACGACGCGACCGAGUGAUCAAAUAAACAAAUUGGGGCUAUUGUCGUAGCAGCUUCAAUGGAUGUCGCAGUUGUCGCUUCUCUCUCUUUUUCUAGUAUAUCCGCCGCCACGGUAGGUCAGCCCAAAUUGGAGGAAUUGACAUAUUUGUGCGUUUUCGAUUCGGAUGACAAUUUUUCAAGUCAACCGGUGCAAGGUUCAUAAAGGCGACCGUGGUCACGUCACUGGUGCAGAAAUUGAAUUGACACGCACGACAUUCAUUCAUCAUCAAAAGGAUCUCCCCCCCGCAAUUGAGGCCAGCAAUUCGUAUAAGAAACUCAAGUGCUACCAUAAGCGGAAUCGAUACCGGAUGACUCGACCAUGACUGGACGAAUUUGUUUUGUUUUUUAAAGAAGAAAACCCGAAUUGCGUUUGCUGUUACAGAUAUACGAUCGAUUUCCAAAAAUAUAUAUGUACUCUCACUCGGUUUACGCUGAGAAAAGACAACCUUGAAGAUUGAUAUGUCACAGAUGACAAAUUGACAAUAACGACGUGUGUGAGAGAGUCGGUUGCGUCGUAAUGAUGACCAGCACGCGGUCGGGCGGCAUUUUUUUUUUAUGUUUAUUUUUUUUUCCCAUUCUGAAAAUGUGACAAUCUGCCCUGUAAUCCGGCCGCAGAUUGCACAAUAAUAAGUCUGGAUGGAGAGGGUAUACGAGCGAGAGUCACGUUUAUUCCAUUAUCCCAAUCUCCCCUGCAGUUGUAGGUCAUCUGCUCAUCACCACCCCGCGGCCUCCUCAUGAUAUUCUUUAAAUUACAACUUUUUUCUUCACAUUCGACUCUAUAUUAUACCUAUACGCAACCAUCCUUUCUUGUCGUCGUAACUAUUUUUUUUUUAAUGUCGAUAUUUAUGCAAGCCCCCGUUGUUGGAAGAGUUCCUAUAGGGAUCGACCCAGUUCUUUUUCAUCUUCUCAAUUCUUUUGUAAGUUUUUUUUUCAAACUUGUGCCUAUAUUUUUUCAUUUUCAUUUUCAUUUUCUUUGUCCUCUGUUGUUCAUCUUUCGAAAAGCAAGUUCCACUCACGAUACACCUUCGGCGCGUGUGUCUUCAUCUUUGUUUGUUUCACUUUUUCUUGUCGGCUGUGUAAUCAAAACGACUUUGUGUCUGCCCAGGAAAACAAGAAUAAAAAUAAAAAGCCAUUGUUUUUU
Molecule: long non-coding RNA, 2220 nt
Filed under: Daphnia pulicaria
Lineage: Eukaryota; Metazoa; Arthropoda; Branchiopoda; Diplostraca; Daphniidae
Description: uncharacterized LOC124342374, transcript variant X3
Source: RNAcentral